RNAcentral lists this ribosomal RNA (460 nucleotides) under uncultured bacterium. RNAcentral's name for it is "partial 16S ribosomal RNA". It matches the Rfam family "Bacterial small subunit ribosomal RNA", at positions 338 to 795 of the family's 1533-position model. The record is from RNAcentral.
CCUACGGGCGGCAGCAGUGAGGAAUAUUGGUCAAUGGCCGGAAGGCUGAACCAGCCAUGCCGCGUGAAGGUCAGUGCCCUAUGGGCGUUAAACUUCUUUUGUGCGGGAGCAAUAAUGGUCACGUGUGGCCAGACGAGAGUACCGUACGAAUACGCAUCGGCUAACUCCGUGCCAGCAGCCGAGGUAAUACGGGGGGUGCAAGCGUUAUCCGGAGUUUUGGGGUUUAAAGGGGUGGUAGGCUGUGAAGGAAGUCAGCGGUGAAAUGCCCCCGCUCAACGGGGUGAAGUGCCAUUGAUACUGCCUUGCUGGAAUGCGGAUGCCGUGAGAGGAAUGUGUGGUGUAGAGGUGAAAUGCAUAGAUAUCACACAGAACACCGAUUGCGAAGGCAUCUCACGAAUCCGCGAUUGACGCUGAUGCACGAAAGCGUGGGUAUCAAACAGGAUUAGAUACCCCAGUAGUC